Molecule: ribosomal RNA, 454 nt
Filed under: Amblyomma testudinarium
Lineage: Eukaryota; Metazoa; Arthropoda; Arachnida; Ixodida; Ixodidae
Description: partial 16S ribosomal RNA
Rfam family: Bacterial large subunit ribosomal RNA (bases 133-454)
Source: RNAcentral
CUGCUCAAUGAUUUUUUAAAUUGCUGUGGUAUUUUGACUAUACAAAGGUAUUGAAAUAAGAUUUUAAUUGAAUGCUAAGAGAAUGGAUUAACAAAAAAAUUCUUUUUUGAUUUUAAAAAUUGAAAUUAAUUUUUUUUGUGAAGAAGCAAAAAUAAAAAUUAAGGACAAGAAGACCCUAAGAAUUUUAAACUAUUAAUUUUAGGUCUAAAUUUUUUUAGUUUUAAUUGGGGCGAUUAAUUAAAAUUUUAAACUUUGUUUGAAAAUAAAAUGAACCGUUAUUGACGGUAAUAUGAUAAAAAUACUCUAGGGAUAACAGCGUAAUAAUUUUUGAUAGUUCCUAUAGACAAAAUAGUUUGCGACCUCGAUGUUGGAUUAGGAUUCUAAUUUAAUGAAGAAGUUAAAUAAAGAAGUUUGUUCAACUUUUAAAAUCCUACUUGAUCUGAGUUCAGACCGG